UUAUGAUGAACAUUAUCAGUUAUCCCUGUCAGAUAUUACUAUGUUGAUAACU
RNAcentral lists this small RNA (52 nucleotides) under Cinara cedri. The record is from RNAcentral. Lineage: Eukaryota; Metazoa; Arthropoda; Insecta; Hemiptera; Aphididae.